Molecule: ribosomal RNA, 427 nt
Filed under: uncultured bacterium
Lineage: Bacteria
Description: bacterial SSU rRNA
Rfam family: Bacterial small subunit ribosomal RNA
Source: RNAcentral
GCGAGGAAUUUUCCGCAAUGGGCGAAAGCCUGACGGAGCAACGCCGCGUGGGGGAAGAAGGCCUUCGGGUUGUAAACCCCUGUUGCGAGGGAAGAAGAUCUGACGGUACCUCGCGAGGAAGCCACGGCUAACUACGUGCCAGCAGCCGCGGUAAUACGUAGGUGGCAAGCGUUGUCCGGAUUUACUGGGCGUAAAGCGCGCGCAGGCGGGCUGGUCAGUCUGGGGUGAAAUCUCACGGCUCAACCGUGAGAGGUCCCUGGAUACUGCUAGCCUUGAGGGGCUCAGAGGAGAGUGGAAUUCCGGGUGUAGUGGUGGAAUGCGUAGAUAUCCGGAGGAACACCAGUGGCGAAAGCGGCUCUCUGGGGGCAACCUGACGCUGAGGCGCGAAAGCGUGGGGAGCGAACCGGAUUAGAAACCCGGGUAGUCC